RNAcentral lists this ribosomal RNA (881 nucleotides) under uncultured bacterium. RNAcentral's name for it is "bacterial SSU rRNA". It matches the Rfam family "Bacterial small subunit ribosomal RNA", at positions 10 to 920 of the family's 1533-position model. The record is from RNAcentral.
AGUUUGAUCCUGGCUCAGGAUGAACGCUGGCGGCGUGCCUAACACAUGCAAGUCGAGCGAUCUUCUUCGGAAGAGAGCGGCGGACGGGUGAGUAACGCGUGGGUAGCCUGCCCUGUACACACGGAUAACAUACCGAAAGGUAUGCUAAUACGAGAUAAUAUGCUUUUGUCGCAUGGUAGAAGUAUCAAAGCUCCGGCGGUACAGGAUGGACCCGCGUCUGAUUAGCUAGUUGGUAAGGUAACGGCUUACCAAGGCGACGAUCAGUAGCCGACCUGAGAGGGUGAUCGGCCACAUUGGAACUGAGACACGGUCCAAACUCCUACGGGAGGCAGCAGUGGGGAAUAUUGCACAAUGGGCGAAAGCCUGAUGCAGCAACGCCGCGUGAGCGAUGAAGGCCUUCGGGUCGUAAAGCUCUGUCCUCAAGGAAGAUAAUGACGGUACUUGAGGAGGAAGCCCCGGCUAACUACGUGCCAGCAGCCGCGGUAAUACGUAGGGGGCUAGCGUUAUCCGGAAUUACUGGGCGUAAAGGGUGCGUAGGUGGUUUCUUAAGUCAGAGGUGAAAGGCUACGGCUCAACCGUAGUAAGCCUUUGAAACUGGGAAACUUGAGUGCAGGAGAGGAGAGUGGAAUUCCUAGUGUAGCGGUGAAAUGCGUAGAUAUUAGGAGGAACACCAGUUGCGAAGGCGGCUCUCUGGACUGUAACUGACACUGAGGCACGAAAGCGUGGGGAGCAAACAGGAUUAGAUACCCUGGUAGUCCACGCCGUAAACGAUGAGUACUAGCUGUCGGAGGUUACCCCCUUCGGUGGCGCAGCUAACGCAUUAAGUACUCCGCCUGGGAAGUACGCUCGCAAGAGUGAAACUCAAAGGAAUUGACGGAAGG